UUAAAAACACAUUUUUACCAAACAUUACAAUCUUAUUAAUCCGAUUUAACAUAAAGGUAUUAAGCAAGUUACUAAAUUAAUAACUUAAAACUUAAACUUCUGACGCCUAUUCUCUUGAAAGUAGAAGCAUAAUAAAAUAACACACUAAAAUCAAAAUGACAAUAAUUCACCAAAACCGAGUGCUUAUACAAACAUAACAGUGAUAAAUAAGAUUAAACAAUAAUGGACAAGUGAC
RNAcentral lists this unclassified non-coding RNA (235 nucleotides) under Melitaea cinxia (Glanville fritillary). RNAcentral describes it as "misc RNA ENSMCXG00005016366.1". The record is from RNAcentral. Lineage: Eukaryota; Metazoa; Arthropoda; Insecta; Lepidoptera; Nymphalidae.